AACGGCCGUACCAUGCUGAAUAUACCGGUUCUCGUUAGAUCACCGAAGUUAAGCAUCAUUGGGCGCGGUCGUGGGUGGUACCACGGGUGACCACCCUGGGAACACUGCGUGCCGUU
This is a non-coding RNA of Caerostris darwini, 116 nucleotides long. The record is from the annotation of a GenBank genome assembly. NCBI's taxonomy places the organism in Eukaryota, Metazoa, Arthropoda, Arachnida, Araneae, Araneidae.